Molecule: small nuclear RNA, 103 nt
Filed under: Tupaia belangeri (northern tree shrew)
Lineage: Eukaryota; Metazoa; Chordata; Mammalia; Scandentia; Tupaiidae
Source: RNAcentral
GUGCUCGCUUUGGCAGUACAUAUACUAGAAUUGAAACAAUACAGAGAUUAGCAUGGCCCCUGUGCAAGAUGACAGGCCAAUUCAUGGAGCAUUCCACGUUUUC